This 367-nucleotide ribosomal RNA is filed under the name uncultured organism. Its description in RNAcentral is "bacterial SSU rRNA". It matches the Rfam family "Bacterial small subunit ribosomal RNA", at positions 526 to 896 of the family's 1533-position model. The record is from RNAcentral.
CGGAGGGUGCAAGCGUUAUCCGGAAUCAUUGGGUUUAAAGGGUCCGCAGGCGGUCUUAUAAGUCAGUGGUGAAAGCCUACAGCUUAACUGUAGAACUGCCAUUGAUACUGUAAGACUUGAAUUCGGUCGAAGUGGCGGAAUGUGACAUGUAGCGGUGAAAUGCUUAGAUAUGUCACAGAACACCGAUAGCGAAGGCAGCUCACUAGGCCUGGAUUGACGCUCAUGGACGAAAGCGUGGGGAGCAAACAGGAUUAGAUACCCUGGUAGUCCACGCCGUAAACUAUGAUUACUCGUUUUCGGCGAUAUACAGUCGGAGACUAAAGCGAAAGUGAUAAGUAAUCCACCUGGGAGUACGAUCGCAAGGUUG